RNAcentral lists this ribosomal RNA (209 nucleotides) under uncultured bacterium. RNAcentral describes it as "partial 16S ribosomal RNA". It matches the Rfam family "Bacterial small subunit ribosomal RNA", at positions 1292 to 1500 of the family's 1533-position model. The record is from RNAcentral.
UUCGGAUUGCAGGCUGCAACUCGCCUGCAUGAAGCUGGAAUUGCUAGUAAUCGCGGAUCAGCAAGCCGCGGUGAAUACGUUCCCGGGCCUUGUACACACCGCCCGUCACACCAUGAGAGUCGGGAACACCCGAAGUCCGUAGUCUAACCGCAAGGGGGGCGCGGCCGAAGGUGGGUCCGGUAAUUGGGGUGAAGUCGUAACAAGGUAUC